Molecule: ribosomal RNA, 274 nt
Filed under: uncultured bacterium
Lineage: Bacteria
Description: partial 16S ribosomal RNA
Rfam family: Bacterial small subunit ribosomal RNA
Source: RNAcentral
AUACGGAGGGUGCAAGCGUUAUUCGGAAUCACUGGGCGUACAGGACGCGUAGGCGGGUUGGCAAGUCAGAUGUGAAAUCCUACAGCUUAACUGUAGAACUGCAUUUGAAACUGCUAACCUAGAGUAUGGGAGGGGGAGAUGGAAUUAGUGGUGUAGGGGUAAAAUCCGUAGAUAUCACUAGGAAUACCGAAAGCGAAGGCGAUCUCCUGGAACAUAACUGACGCUAAGGCGUGAAAGUGUGGGGAGCAAACAGGAUUAGAAACCCUAGUAGUCC